RNAcentral lists this ribosomal RNA (253 nucleotides) under uncultured bacterium. RNAcentral's name for it is "partial 16S ribosomal RNA". It matches the Rfam family "Bacterial small subunit ribosomal RNA", at positions 524 to 776 of the family's 1533-position model. The record is from RNAcentral.
CACGUAGGGUGCGAGCGUUGUCCGGAAUUAUUGGGCGUAAAGAGCUCGUAGGCGGUUUGUCGCGUCUGCUGUGAAAACUCGGGGCUCAACUCCGAGCCUGCAGUCGAUACGGGCAGACUAGAGUGCGGUAGGGGAGACUGGAAUUCCUGGUGUAGCGGUGAAAUGCGUAGAUAUCUGGAAGAACACCAAUGGCGAAGGCAAUGUUCUGGCUCGUUUCUGACGCUCAGGUGCGAAAGCCAGGGGAGCGAACGGG